UUUAUAAUAAGGGCUCAGAUUGUCAUGUUGGUGUGCCACAGUAUUCUAUGUGGCUGGUUUUAAGUUCAGUAAUUCCUCGGAAUUCCUUCCAUCUCUUCCCCCAGUUUCCCCUUUGAAAAACAAACUUUGUCAACGGGGGGUUCUGUUUUCACAGAUGAACUGCUCAGGGGACGCCACCGCAGACCGAAUCUCCGCCCAGUGCUAUGGAAAUGUGGAAGGUCGCCCUGUGGAGACUCUCCUGUCCCCGCAGACCUCAGUCAACAUUUCCAUCACCCGUUCUGGCUGCUCAACAAAUCUAAGUACCGUCCUCCACGUUCUCCGGGGUGAGGACGAACAGAAAGGAAGUCUUACUUUGUACCUAACUUGUCUCCCUGGUCUUAGUCUAAAGGCAUCUGUCCAGCACUCUAUAAAGGCAGUACAGACACUGGGAUUUCCCUCCCUCGGGACACUAAUUCUGAAUGUCUCAACUGCCCAUUUGCCUGGCGUGGAGGUUGGCCUGGAGCUGGGACGCUGUUAUUUCAGGGGGGAAUUGGGGAAGACCAAAGAAACAGAAGGGGAUGAGUCUACUUACGCUGUCAAUGUCACAAACUAUUGUCCUGCACUACAGGUAAGAAAACCACUAGGUUUUGUAAAAUACAGCUUAUGGAAACCUGAAUGAACUAAUAUGUUUAAGGUGUAAAUAUUGCUGUUACUUCUAACCGUUAUUCACCCUUGUCCAUGUUAACAAAACCUCCUUUGAAAUACAGUUUUCAGCCUGUUCAAAGGUCAUGCUGCAGCCCAUUAAUCACCAGCAGCAGGACAAAACAAUACCAUGGACGAUAAACAUCACAUUAACCAGCAUUAAUAUUACUGAGGACAUUUGUGGUACUGAUAGAAGUACCCAUAUACGAAGUGUAAAGUGUACAUGACAGCUCAAACAGCAUAUCAAGAAAUGCUGCAUAGGUUGGUGAUUGGUUAUUACAAGGAGGUAGUA
RNAcentral lists this long non-coding RNA (973 nucleotides) under Scophthalmus maximus (turbot). Its description in RNAcentral is "lncRNA (ENSSMAG00000028031.1)". The record is from RNAcentral. Lineage: Eukaryota; Metazoa; Chordata; Actinopteri; Pleuronectiformes; Scophthalmidae.